This 254-nucleotide ribosomal RNA is filed under the name uncultured bacterium. Its description in RNAcentral is "partial 16S ribosomal RNA". It matches the Rfam family "Bacterial small subunit ribosomal RNA", at positions 524 to 776 of the family's 1533-position model. The record is from RNAcentral.
UACAGAGGCCCCGAGCGUUACCCGGAAUUACUGGGCGUAAAGAGCGCGUAGGCGGUCUGUUAAGUGUGAAGUGAAAUCUCCAGGGCUCAACCCGGAAACUGCUUCGCAUACUGGCAGACUUGAGGGAUGCAGAGGUUUGUGGAAUUCCUGGUGUAGCGGUGAAAUGCGUUGAUAUCAGGAGGAACACCCAUGGCGAAGGCAGCAAACUGGGCAUCAUCUGACGCUGAGGCGCGAAAGCGUGGGUAGCAAACAGG